RNAcentral lists this ribosomal RNA (253 nucleotides) under uncultured bacterium. RNAcentral's name for it is "partial 16S ribosomal RNA". It matches the Rfam family "Bacterial small subunit ribosomal RNA", at positions 524 to 776 of the family's 1533-position model. The record is from RNAcentral.
UACGUAGGGCGCAAGCGUUGUCCGGAAUUAUUGGGCGUAAAGAGCUCGUAGGCGGCUUGUCACGUCGGGUGUGAAAGCCCGGGGCUUAACCCCGGGUCUGCAUUCGAUACGGGCUAGCUAGAGUGUGGUAGGGGAGAUCGGAAUUCCUGGUGUAGCGGUGAAAUGCGCAGAUAUCAGGAGGAACACCGGUGGCGAAGGCGGAUCUCUGGGCCAUUACUGACACUGAGGAGCGAAGGCGUGGGGAGCGAACAGG